Molecule: long non-coding RNA, 712 nt
Filed under: Amborella trichopoda
Lineage: Eukaryota; Viridiplantae; Streptophyta; Magnoliopsida; Amborellales; Amborellaceae
Description: long non-coding RNA (ATRI_LNC000358)
Source: RNAcentral
GUGAUGUGAGGUGCGAAUGCAUAGAUGUUAGUCAAACAAGAUUGGCCACAAAUUUGUUCAGAAAAAACCUUAUUUUCUCUUUGUUUCUCUUUUUUUUGCUCUACUAGAUCUAUGGUGCGCGAAUAACUAGUGAGAUGUUCUAAAUUAGAGAUUAUAAUGAGCAAGAACAAACAACUUUCACUUGAAUGAGAAUGUGUACAUAUACACAAAAUAUUGAUGAUAUAAGGAAUAUUGCCCCUCAGUGGUAAAGAAAUGUAAAAAUGAAAGAAGAAAAGUAUGCCUAUUAUGAUGAUCAUGAUCCAAAUUCUUUACUCUCUCAGAGAAUUAUUUUUUUAAGGACUAUACCGCAUUGUGAAGCAUUUGGACUGAGCAUUCCCUUCCUUGCUCUCUGAAAAAUGAAAAUGAUCUUUCCCGUGCUGUCAUAAUAUACCUCUUUUUGAGCUGCACAUCAUUUGAUGGUAGUCUCCCUUAAUAAUUUAAUUCUGUCAUGGAAGACUGGACUAGAUACUACUGCACUUCUAUUGUCAUUCUUGAACAAUUCCUAUCUCUUUUGAAAGAGCAUGAAUCCAAAUCAAUUCACACAGGUGGCGACUCAUAUCUAGCUCUUGCACUUUAGCUUGACAUUGUGCUUUUUUAGUUCCAAAAGAGAACAGUGGAAUCCUCUUAACUGCGAACUAUAUUGUAACUUAGAAUUUGAAAACUAAUAUUCAAG